Long non-coding RNA from Coccinella septempunctata (seven-spotted ladybird), 409 nucleotides. RefSeq lists it as uncharacterized. Lineage: Eukaryota; Metazoa; Arthropoda; Insecta; Coleoptera; Coccinellidae. The transcript is spliced from 3 exons. The record is from RefSeq and is a predicted model, not a curated record.
GAGUGACAUGAAGACUGCAACAUCAAGAGGACCCUAGAGAAAGGUUGGAACUUGCUUGCUUACCUCAGCCUUUGGGAACUGUAGACCACUUGGCAUAGGGGGAACCAGAUAUUUUUUGUGGAGGUGACCGCCCCCUUGGUAAAGCUUUCAUCUUCCUAAUCAUCAUGGCUCUGAUGCUAUGCGUUGACGCUUCACCACUGCCUUCACCAUCACCAUCGCCCUAUCCUUCUUGUGGUGUAAACUGUGGAAAACACAAGAGCAUUUUAUAAUCUGUGCACGAGGGGUAAAACCAGAAGACCGUUCAUUAAAUUGGUGAAGGAAAAUUUAUCAUGAGUACAGGAAUUCUAAUACAAAAAUGGAUUGAUUAAUAUUAAUUGUUCUUCAAUCAAUAAAAAUCAUGUGUCUAUUG